AAACCCAAUCGAGAUGCAGACUGUUGGAUUAUUUAUACUUACGUACGGUUUGUGAUAAGCAUCGGGGUAUACUGUUAAAGAACUUGUAUGAGUAAUUUUCAAUACGAUUUGUACAGUUUCAUUUGUGUGUCGGUUUUGAGUCGUGUUUGAUUAAGGACUGUAUAUGAUAUUGGUAACACUAACAGUAUAGUAUCGUAAAUUGUCCCUACUGACUGAUGUUUCCAGUGUAAUUCAAGAAAUUGACAGCAAAUUACCAUGCUGUAAAUAAACUUUGAACUUUGUUACUCAUAAGACAUAUUUUUUAAAUCUCGUAUAUAUACUUAGUGAUUUUCUUCAACUAAGUAUGUUAUCAAAAAUUCAUCAUUAUUUAAAACAGCAUUGAAGUUGCAACUUGUAUUUUUAGAACAGUAACAAAGAUAUGUGCUUUCACAUCAGACAGGUUAAUUUUGUAUUUUUACAUAUAUAUGGAAAAACAAAAUGACUGAACUAAUAAACAAAACAGCACCAGCAUGUGCCACAAAAAAUCUAAAGGAAGAAGGCUAUUACAGUCCUGAAAAUGGAAUAUGUUUAGAGACUACGUGUGUCAACCAAAAUGGUGAAAAAGAAAAUCAAUAUGAAAACACAGUGGAUUUGUUACAUCAUGCUGCUGAGCAAUGUCAGAUGGUUGCCAAUCGUCUAAAAUGGAAAGAAUUGCAGAAAAAGUAUGCUACAGCAGAGCUAACAACACAACAAGAAGUGCCUCAAAUAUUGCAAGACCAUUCAUCUUGUUCUAAUAUUAAACAGAGAUCCACCAAUGGGCAAGAAUUGUCAACACAACAUGAAAUCUCCUUGAAUGUACUGAAAUGUGAAUGCUGUUCUGAAAUGGCUCAGAAGCUUAAAGCUUCAGUUACUGAAUGUGGAAGAUUAAGAAAGGUCAUUAAGGAGAUAACUGAUGUGAAUAAGCGAUGGCAGAAAUAUAACCAAGAGAGACAAGAAUAUCUUCAACAGCUUCUUACUAACUUCCAGGAACUACAACAGAGAGUAAACACUUCAAAUUGUAAUGACUCUCUGCUAGAAAAUUCUUUGUCACUACAAACAGCCAACUCUGUUGCUGGAACUCAUGGAUCAUACAGACAUAGUGAUUCAGCUCUUCUAAAUAAACCAACAGAGCAGUUGACAUUAAAGCAAAGCUAUGAAAAGGUGGUCAAGGACAACUGUCGACUUCAGAAAGAACAAGAAGAAAUGCGUCAAAACUUUGAGGCUUUAGUUUAUCAACUAGAUCUUGUUAGAAAUGAACGAAAAGAGCAUAUAGAAGUUCUAGAAAUGCAGGUUAGAGCACACAAAGAAGAUUGGGAAGCUGAAAAGCGAGAAAAAGAAGAAGCACAAAUAAAAUUGAAACAUCUAACAGAGGAAUUAAGUACUGCAAAGGCCAUGAGUCGAGACCUUGAGCAACAGAUCUAUAAAAGUGAUAAAACUUGCCACUGUAGUUCUGAGAGCCAGGAGAAAGCUUUGGUUGUUCUUAAUGGUCAUGGCCAAGCAAAUAAAGUUGAUCAACUACAUCAGUGGUGGGCUCCAAAUUCUCCUGCUACACCAUCUAAUGAUCAAAAGAAGCAAAACAUAUCCCCAAACGAGCCAGCAAGUAUUCAAAACGUUAAUAACCAGACUUACUAUAGUAGUGUGGCUUGUAACAUCUAUGCUCCAGAAUUGCCUGAAGUUCUAUAUAGAGGUGUCAACUUCAAACCUCAGAUGAAAACAAAUGACUUGGUGGUUGAUGUCAGUACUUUUCAUCCAAAGGCAAAUAACUCCCCAACAAGAACUACUCUUAUUAAACAAUUAAAUGGUAAGGUUUCUCCACAACAGAAUAAGGACAAGGCUGAUGAUGCAGUUGAAUGCCCUGGAUGUUUAAGAAUGUUUCCAUCACAUAGACAUAUACAGUUCUUAGAUCAUUUUGAGCAGUGUCAAAAGUCACAGGCAUCAGAGUAAUUACAAUUAGAAAACUUAAUAUAUACUGGUCAUAGAAAAGUGACCUAUUUUUGUCAGGAUUGUCAAUUACCUUCUGGAUUUAUUCAUAAGGAAGUUUCAUACAUCUUAACAGAAAAGUCCAGUUUCAUGCUUAAUGAAGUUUGUUUAUUCUUUUCAACUGAAGACAAGUGGAUAUUUUCCCAUGUCUGAAACUUAUUUAUUGGAAAACCAUAUGAAAUUAGGACAUGUUAAUAUAUAUUAAUGUAACUUUUUGUACAAGUAUGGUUGAGAUGUUUGAUGAAUAUUUAUAGAAUGUUCACUGGUGAUCAACUGACACAACCAUAUUUAAUGAUCAUACCAUUAGCUAUUUAUUAUUCUACAUUUUUGAGUUAUUGGUCAAUAACUGUUCAAAUGUGUGAUGUUUUUCUGAUCGUCAUUUAGUAUUAAUGGCAUUAUCAUAAUACAGAUAUAACCAUUAUUAGGUAUUGAUUUCUUCACAUGUUACUAAAAGUAAGUAUCAUAAGUAUAGACAUGAUACUGAUUUAACCAACGCUUUAAAUUCUUAGUCCUGAAAUACAAAAGUUUGACUACCAGUACUAUUAAUACUCAGAUUCAUAACAGUGGUAAACUAUUGAUGAAGCAUUAUUUACAUGAUAUUUUUAUUCUGGAUCUGAUACAUUUUGGUUGAUAUAUGUUAUAAAAGACAUGUAUGCCAUCACUAGUUCUAUUUUUACUGUUCUAAUUUUAUUUUUAGAUACAUACAUUUUGUCUUUACAAUUAGCAUAGGAAAAAAUGCUAGAUAUGGUAACUUACAGUAUUAAGUAAUUUGUAAAUUAAAAAAUAUGACUACAACCAUCCAACAAGAGUAUCUAACAUUUAACAUGCAUAUUUUAGUAAUACAUGUUGAAAUGCAGUACUAGAAAUUUUUCCAGAUUUUCAGCUGCAUUCAUAUACAGUGUUCACUGUAUACAGAUGGUGAAAGUUUUUGUUUUGAUGGUCAAAUUUUCUGUUUAGGUUUAAAUAUUUAUGGUUUGUUGCUCUUUGUUAAAAAAAGUAUUUCUUGUUACUAACUUGAAAUCUUCUGUGAGGAAAUUGUUCUCUGAAAACAAAUUCUUUAAAAUUAAUAUCUACAACUUAUAGAAUUAAAGUAUUCCAUCAAUUUUAUACCAAAUAUUUAAGAUAGUAUAAAAAAUCUACAAAAUUAGGAUACUUUUUUUUAUUUUCAAUUAAUUAAUAUUUUGAGCUGUGAUGGUAUGGCCUUUUGAUAUUCUUUGAUCAAUAAGAUACAUGUUGAUAGUGAUUUCGUAGAAUAAUUUAAAUCACAGAUUACUUAUGAAAAAAAAAUUGUGAUUGUCAAAAUUAGUGCAAAUGUACUCUAAACUUUUGUUAACAUAUAAAUAAAAUAUUAUAAAUUUUCAUGAAAUUUAAAGGUUAAAAGCAUUUGAAACUGUAAAUACAUGACUGAGUUAUUUUAUUGGAAUUUUUUGUGGUUUUGAAUAACUUAUAUGAUUUUUUCUUUUUAAAAUAUCGUCUUAUUUAAUAUUGUUUUUUUUCUUUAGAGAUUUCUUUCUUGUUGUUAUGUUAUAGGUCUUAAUUUUGAACAAAAUUUACAAAUAUAUAUAGGUUCAUCACUUUGAAAACUGGAAAAUAUUACUUUUGUAACGACAUAAAACAUGGACUAAGAGGUCUUGUAAGAGUUACCAAAAGUAAGAGUGCAGGUGCCACCUAUGUCAAUGGUUUUCAAAGUAAAAGUAGGAAGACUUUUAACCACCAGGAAUUUCUAAACUUUAACACAGCCAUGUCACUAGAAGGAGCAGGUACGGGAUCUGAAAAUAAAUGUCAACUAACACUUUCUGUGAGAAACUUCUAAAAACAAAAGUGAGACAGUGGUCUUGACUGUGCAUAUAACUAGCACAUGAAAUAAGGUCAAUACUAUACAAAACUGAUUUCUUGUAUGAGAAAGACUGAAAGUGCAUAUAUGUGAAAAAGUUUGGUGAACUAAAUAACUUAGCUUUCUGUGAGGUAUGUCUCAAUCAGCUCUUGAUUAGGGGUGGAUAUUUCCAGAAAUUUUAUAUAGCAGUAUACUGCCAUAUUUAUAACUGUAUUGCAGUAUAUUAAAUCGUAGGAUACAGAGGUCAUUUGGUACACUCAUGGGUCACUUAGGCAUCAUUUAGCUUAUGUUGCUACAAUGUAUACUAUUGGCAGAUUGUACAAUAUAUGCCAUUAACAUGUGUACAAUUUGAUCCAAUCAGAAAGUGCCAUUAAAACUAAGACUAAACCAUAAUUAGAUGUUGGUAAAUUUGUGCUUGUGCUCACAAUUCACCAUUCAGGCUGACAACUUUACACAAAUGUUUCUAAGGUACAUCUCCAAACUACAGUUAUAAUAUUACGUUUAAUAGCAUUAGAGCAUGGUUAUCUAACAGAGAUAUUUUGAUAGCUUGUCCUUGAUGUUAUGACAGACAGGUUGAAACUAUUUCCAUUGUUAGUAUGGCUGGAAACUGCUUAAGAAACUUAAAUUAUAACCUAAUGUAGGUCUAAAUAUUUAGUGCUACAAAUCAAAUAACUAUACCACAAAACAAAGUUUGUUAUGAAUUUGCAUUACUUGGCAUCAAUACCUUUUCAUUUAAUGUGUAAUGUUUAUUACUAAAGCUUUGGUGGUUGUUGAGAUUAUAAAUAGAACUUGGCAGAACAUAAACAUAUCAAAGUAAACAAAUUGCCCCCAUGGAUGACUCAUAACUUGUGCUUAAAUUGGCAAGAAAUUACAUAACUAGACAACUCAAAUAAUUAUUUUAGCAUAUUAUUUGGACGUGAAAAGUUUGAAAACAUUAAAUGUAAAUAUUUUUCUCCUUUCCAGGAUUGAUGUCCAUCAAUGAGCAUGACAAUAAUACUAGAAUCCUUAUCAAAACAUGGGAAGGCCAAGGGUUAGAAAAUCAUUGGUUGAAAUAUUUUGUUUUUACAGAAAAAAGUGGGCCAGGCAGUCCAGUCAGUUGUGAGCACAGUGGCCAUAAACCACCACCUCUCUAGUGGUUGAAUUGGAUCUGGAGCUAAAGUUGUCUUAAGAGGAAACUGGGUGCCAGGAAGGGACACCCAAGAUAUUUGCCAACACUCAACCAGCACCACCAAUGACAGAGGUGUAGAUUUUAAUGGCUAGUAGAAGGACCACCGUAAAUAGAAAUGUGGUAGUUGUGAAGGUCUUUAUACUAACCACACCAGUAGUACAUUUGACAGCAAGAGCCUUCAGGUUGAAUGAAGGUGCCUCCACCUCAAAAGCUGACCAAAACGUAACUGUGACUCCCCAUACCACUACCAAGACAAAGCUCGGGACAUUCACACUAACAUCAGCAGAGCAACUAGCGACUAUGUGGUCCAAUGAGCUACCUCAAUGACAACCAAGGGUUGACCAGCCCACCACUGUUUCAUUGUUCUGACAGAGCAGCAGGUACAGCUAAUAAAUUGGCACUGAUAGUAAGAUAACAGCCAUGUAAAACAGGGAAUAAGCCCUCAAUCUCACCUUCCAUGUUGGAAAAAGAGGUCCACUACCUGUAGAUAGAGCUGGCCCAAACCAAGAUGAUCCUUGGUUCAAGAAAUCACCAAGGACAUUAUGGCAACCAAUCAUGAUCUGUCACUUCUUUAGAGGAUCUGCUGUUAGGGUGAAAGUGAGGGGAGUCAGAUCUCAUUGCUAUUGUUAAGAUAGUUAUAUACAUUUUUAAUUUAAGGUCUGUAAAUAUCUGUAUCUUUGCAUUUCAUUUUUUUUCUGUUUGUUGUUCCAUUAUCUCAAAUGUACAAAUUCCCAAUUUGUUUGUGUAUUUGCACACUAUGAACAUAGUUUUAAUCUUUCUGUACUGUAAUUUCUAAGGGAUUUAUUUUCUUUAUCUUGUGUAUAAAUAUCAGUGUUUUAGGAUCAAUUCUGCAUUCAUUUCAGACAAUUUGUUUAGUGAUUUCUAUUUAGUUUUAUGUUGUAAUUAUAAUAUUCAUAAGGCCUAGAAAAAGAAUGCUUUGUUUCUGGUUGACCGACCGACCCUACAUAACAAUGUUUUUUCAACCCCUCUCCUCCAAAAAAAAUCACUCCUGACCCACCCUAACGAAAAAUGCUCUUUGAUUUUUUUUUCGUUAAAUUAUUGAAUUAAUAUGCUACUAUAUUGUACAAGGUGAAGGGAAUAAGAAACCACGUCUAUGAUUCGUUAGUCGGUGUGGUACGUGUGUCAAUGCUCUUAGCCAUUUAACUCUCACAACACAGGUUUGUCCCCUGGUGGGACAGCAGUAAGGUUAUGGGUUCGAUUCUCUGUGGUGGACACAGCAAAUAGCCCAGUGUGGUUUUGCUCUAAAUCACAAACAACAUGAGUUUGGUCAAGUUGAUUGACCGCAUGACCACUUUGUACUUGUUAUGGUCACAAACUUUUGCAGACUUUCAGUAAACUUUAUAUUCAAAAAAUUAGAUUUUUAGUGAAGUAUUUUUACUACAGAUUUGUCUGUGAAUAUAUCGAACCUUUCUUUUUACCAGUCCGAGUGCAAAGUGAUUUUUUAAGAUUAAAAAUACUUUUCUUCAUCUCGAAUGUCAUUUGCGUAAUCUAUAAAACCUAUUAAAUAUAUUUCAAACGUUCUUUUUUUUUUCAAUAAAACAUAAUAAUAGCUCUAUACAAGUUUGGUCAAUUUAACUGGCCUCAUAACUACAAAAAAAAAAUUGAAAUAAAUAUAAAUUACACUUUUUUCUGUAUGGAAUGACUUCACAUUGCAACAUGAAACUACAUUUGUUUAUCCUAAGUAGUUAUAAACUCAUAACAGUAUACAUCUAUUUAUACAUAAAUUAUAUUGUUGUACUGCCCUUUGAACCUUGUCUAACUACUAUUGUACCAUUAUAAGUUGUAACUCACUUGGGGAACGUGCACCUCACGUUAUCUAUAGAAUUACAUUACCCAUGAGCUAUUCUGAGCUGUUCAUGAAAUUUUUGUAUUAUUUUAUCAUUUAUUUUACCUAAACUAACCUUACCCAACCUAAAGAGUUUCGAAUUUUUACAUUUUAGUUCUAUAGUGACCAUAUGUCUAAAUAAUACUUUUUCUGAUAGUGCUUAGCAUCUAGAACAAUCUGAUAUAUUAUAAAAUAUGUAUCUGUAUUAAAAAUACCCUGCCUACCUACCCAAUUGUUUUCAGCAUGUAAUAGGGAACAAAGCAUUUGCUUUUCUAGACCUAAAUGUUAAACGUUUUAUUUUGGAUAUUGUGUACAUGGAUUUCAGUGUUUUGGUUUCAGAUCAAAUGGUUCAUUUUGUGACUCUUACUUUGUAUUUUUUCUUAUGCUGAAUUGUAGUUGUAGUUGUUGCUCUAUAUCAGAGUGCUGAAUUGUGUGUUUUUGAAUUUAGUAUGUUGUAACAUUUCAUUGUUAAAGGGUUUAUAUUAUGAUUAAUACAUUUUUUGUGAGUGUCACUAUGCAAAAUUAGUAAGUGAUGUAUUGUGUUCCAUUGUGGAAGAUUUUUCCAGUGUGUAUACUGUAUCUUUAUUGAAGAGCUAUUAAUGUAAAACAAAUGUAGGUUUCUUUGUUGACUCUGUGGAUCAAAGUGCUUAUAACACUAUGUCAAGUUUUAUUUAUGGGCUGGAUUGUUUACAGUAGGUGUCUGUGACUUGUUGGAGAUAAAUUUUAACAAUAAACAAAUAACACAGUCCACUUGUUUUAAAAUAUAUUAAAAAGAGUCAAACAUAUAUAUAAAUGUUUGUUAUGCUGUUGGUUAUUACAGGUGUAUUGAGAGCUUUAAAUAAUUGCCUCUUUCUUGUCAAAGUCCACACAGGCCAAUUCAGUUACUUUAAAAUUUGCCACUACACGCUCUCUAUGACAAAACUCACAGUCGUGCAGUCUAGAUCUAACUAAAUUUUCAAUGUGUAUUUAUACCCCAACUGAUGCCUAGAAUGUUCCACAAACUACUAAAUAUUGUGAUGCAAUAAUACUCAAUUAAACAUGGGAAAAACUGAAAAAGGGUCUAGUAACAUGAUGCAAUAACAUAAUUGCCAAUUCACAACAAUUGAACCACAAGGUAUGAUUCGUAAACAGUUACGUAAACAAACUUCUAAAAAUAACUAAAUUUAACACUCAUGCUAUAUAAUGAUUUAAAUCAUAACUAUCACAUUAAACUUAACUGGAGGCUGUUGUUAUAUCUAACACACUACUCUUUUACAGAGUUACAUUCAAAAUAUAAUUAAACAACUUAAUUAUCAAUGCAUACCAAUUAGCUAGGCAUCAAAAAUUAGUUUAUUCUAAUUUCAAUGUUAUAUAAGUUUUAAUUUCAAAAGGAAAUGUCACCAAGCUAAGAUAUUAAUUUAUAACCUUUAUUCCUGAUGCUCUACUGAAAGUCAAACCCUCCUAGGACUUCCUGUCUUUCAAAAAUAUGAGUAAUUCUCUAGAACAUUUAAUAUUGGGUUAUUUCUAACAAAUAGAAAGAGAAGAUUCCAGCUUAUUGAAUGGGAUGAGACUAGUAGCCAUCUGGAUAACUAGUUUUUAAGUCUUUGGCAUCAUUUAUGUUGUCUGCUAGCAGUGAAACUCUGCUUGAUCAGACAUGUGAAUUAUUUAACUAAUUCCUAGCUUAGUUAGAAAGCUGGAUAAAUUAUAUUUGUUUUAGAACCUUCUAUUUUACAUUAGUAAUGAUAUUUCGUAUUUAAAAUUGAAUAUGUGAACUUAAUAAAAUUACUUUUGAGACCACACUUGUUAUACAAAAUUAGAGUUUUUGUAUGACAUGGACUUUUUUAGUUAUUGUUAUAAAAGUAAAUAAAAUAUAGAAAUUAGAAACUUGCUAGGUUAGCAAAGAAAAAUAAAUAAAAUAUUCAUAGCAUGCACUCAGCAUGAGCGUAUUUGUGUGAUUUGAUAAGAGUGUGCUGGUAAUUGAUCCUUUGUUUUUACAUAGCUAUUCUGCAUAAAACAUAGCUAUCACACAACCUAACAGGAUCUAACAGCAACUGUAAUGUAUUAAAACUAAAUGAAAAAUAUAUUAGUUGUGGCUGUAAAAAUAAAUAGUGUGUACGUUUUUGUUACACUACAUCAUUCUAGAAAAAGUAAUUUAGAUUUAUUUUUACAUGAUGGUUAUAAGGUUGAUCACACUGAUUGAGAUGAAUAAAGGGGCAAGAGAAAGUUUCGGUACUUCUUGAUCUAGGCAUGUGUAUAGAUUCUAUUAAUUAUAGAGUUAGAAUUAAAUGUUAGCUUGAGGACAAGCAUGAAGUAUUUACUGUGGCAAGAGAGAGUUACAGUACUUCUUGAUCAGUGCACGUGUAUAGAUUCCAUAGAUAUUAAUUAAUAUAAAAUACUGGCUUGAGGACAAGCUUGAAAUAAAGAGGGAGGAAAAAUGUGGUGUAUAUAAUGCAUUUUACCUGAUUUUAAUAGAGCAUUUUUCAAAAUUCGUCAGUUAUUCUGAUAUGCAAAUUUGGUCAAUAAAUUUGUUAAGUUGCUUUCAUCCUAAUUGCAUUUAUUCUUUGUUAGUUUCUUGAGAUAACAGCUAAUUCUCCUGUGGAAAGUAUGGAUGUAAAGCUACAUCUUAUGCAUUGAUAUUUACAGCAGUAUCCAUCAUUGGUAGUUCUUAUGAUUCCACGAUGUUAUGAUGCCCUUUAUGUUUGAAUACGAAUAACCAGUCACAUUGAAAACACUGGUCACUCUGGAUAAGCCUGACAUUAUAGUUUUCUAAAUAACAUUAGGUUUGUUAGUCUGGUACUUGAUUUCAACUGGGACAAUCUGGUAUAUUAUCUCAACUGAUACAGUUUACAAAGAAAACUGUUCAAGAUACAAUAAAAAUGAU
Molecule: RNA transcript, 9706 nt
Organism: Limulus polyphemus (Atlantic horseshoe crab)
Lineage: Eukaryota; Metazoa; Arthropoda; Merostomata; Xiphosura; Limulidae
Exons: 9
Source: RefSeq, a predicted model, not a curated record